This 499-nucleotide ribosomal RNA is filed under the name uncultured bacterium. RNAcentral describes it as "partial 16S ribosomal RNA". It matches the Rfam family "Bacterial small subunit ribosomal RNA", at positions 28 to 507 of the family's 1533-position model. The record is from RNAcentral.
GAUGAACGCUGGCGGCGUGCCUAAUACAUGCAAGUCGAGCGAACAGACGAGAGUGCUUGCACUCUCUGACGUUAGCGGCGGACGGGUGAGUAACACGUGGGUAACCUACCUAUAAGACUGGGAUAACUUCGGGAAACCGGAGCUAAUACCGGAUAAUAUUUAGCUUCGCAUGAAGCAAUAGUGAAAGACGGUUCUGCUGUCACUUAUAGAUGGACCCGCGGUGUAUUAGCUAGUUGGUGAGGUAACGGCUCACCAAGGCAACGAUACAUAGCCGACCUGAGAGGGUGAUCGGCCACACUGGGACUGAGACACGGCCCAGACUCCUACGGGAGGCAGCAGUAGGGAAUCUUCCGCAAAGGACGAAAGUCUGACGGAGCAAUGCCGCGUGAGUGAAGAAGGUUUUCGGAUCGUAAAACUCCGUUGUAAGGGAAGAACAAGUACGUUAGUAACUGAACGUACCUUGACGGUACCUUACCAGAAAGCCACGGCUAACUACGUG